AACUUUCGGCAACGGAUCACUUGGCUCUCGCAUCGAUGAAGAACGCAGCGAAAUGCGAUAAGUAAUGGGAAUUGCAGAAUUCAGUGAAUCAUCGAAUCUUUGAACGCACCUUGCGCUCCUUGGUAUUCCGAGGAGCAUGCCUGUUUGAGUGUCAUGAAUCUCUCAACCUUUUCAGUUUUUAUUAACUGGUCUGGCUUGGAUUGUGGGAGUUGCUGGCUUUAUCAAAAGUUUGCUCUCCUUAAAUGUAUUAGCAAUAUCUUUGCUGACCAUCUCUGGUGUGAUAAUUAUCUACGCUAUUGGGAAAUCAGCAUAUGCUUCUAAUAGUCCGUUUGGACAAUUUUUGACAAUUUGACCUCAAAUCAGGUAGGAUUACCCGCUGAACUUAAGCAUAUCAAUAAGCGGAGGCU
Molecule: unclassified non-coding RNA, 407 nt
Filed under: uncultured Entoloma
Lineage: Eukaryota; Fungi; Basidiomycota; Agaricomycetes; Agaricales; Entolomataceae
Description: sequence contains ITS2
Rfam family: 5.8S ribosomal RNA (bases 1-154)
Source: RNAcentral